This 500-nucleotide small RNA is filed under the name Pan troglodytes (chimpanzee). RNAcentral describes it as "retained intron". Lineage: Eukaryota; Metazoa; Chordata; Mammalia; Primates; Hominidae. The record is from RNAcentral.
GGGGGAACAUCCUGAUCCCCGGCAUUAACGAGGCCGUGGCCGCCGUCACGGAAGAGGAGCACAAGCUGUACGACGACAUCGACUUUGACAUAGAGGAGUUUGCCAAGGAUGUGGGGGCGCAGAUCCUCCUGCACAGCAACAAGAAAGACAUCCUCAUGCACCGAUGGCGGUACCCGUCUCUGUCCCUCCAUGGCAUCGAAGGCGCCUUCUCUGGGUCUGGGGCCAAGACCGUGAUUCCCAGGAAGGUGGUUGGCAAGUUUUCCAUCAGGCUGGUGCCGAACAUGACUCCUGAAGUCGUCAGCGAGCAGGCAUGUGGGGCUGGGACACGGGGUGGGGGCCAAGAGCUACUGUGUCCGGGCAGAGACUUGGGUAAUAAAGGCUGUUACUCGACAGACACCCGGGCCAUGCAUGCCCCUGCUUCCUGGCUCUGGCCAAGUCAGUAAUUAUGACAGUCACGGUUCAGAAGCUAAUCAAAGAUAAUGCAUCACAUGUAAGUGACC